This is an RNA transcript of Numida meleagris (helmeted guineafowl), 4458 nucleotides long. It is a transcript of the gene named arylsulfatase family member J, with no coding region annotated. The transcript has 4 exons. The record is from RefSeq and is a predicted model, not a curated record. NCBI's taxonomy places the organism in Eukaryota, Metazoa, Chordata, Aves, Galliformes, Numididae.
CCACCCGGCCGGCACCGGCCCCGGCUCCAGCGCCGACACCACCGCCGGGCAGGGCGGCCCGCGCCGCCUCUCCCGCGGCAGCGGCUGGAGUUGGAGUUGUCGAAGUUGGUGGUGACCGCGAUGAGCGCGGCUCCUCUCCGCUCCCCCGCCCCGCGGGGCCACUGACGGCUCCUGCCCCCGCCUCGCAGGCUGCUGGGUUUGGUCUCGAGUGGGUUUUUUUUUUGUGUGUGUGUGUGUGUGUUUUUUUCUUUUUGGUAUUGUUUUUCUUCUCCGUCUCGCUCUCGCUCCAGCCAAGGUGAAUGGCCCGCGGUGGGUGUAGCUGGCCUCAGCGGCUCCGCAAGGGGAAAAUGCUGGCCGUGGGGGUGCUGGCCGGCCUCUCGGUGCUCAGCCUCCUCACCUACGGCUACCUGUCCUGGGACAGCCUCGGACGCGGCCCCGGAGAGGCGCCGGCGGCGCUGGGAUUGGAGCCGGGGCCCGACGCCCCCAGCUCGCAGCCGCACAUCGUCUUCAUCCUGGCUGACGAUCAGGGCUUCAGAGACGUAGGGUACCACGGCUCGGAGAUCAGGACGCCCACUCUGGACAAGCUAGCCGCUGAAGGGGUUAAACUGGAGAACUAUUAUGUUCAGCCUAUGUGCACACCAUCCAGAAGCCAAUUUAUCACUGGAAAGUACCAGAUACACACCGGCCUUCAGCACUCCAUUAUACGGCCAACGCAGCCCAACUGCCUACCUCUGGAUAACGUCACACUACCUCAGAAGCUGAAGGAGGUUGGUUAUUCAACACACAUGGUUGGCAAAUGGCACUUGGGGUUUUAUCGCAGAGAAUGCAUGCCCACACAGAGAGGAUUUGACACUUUCUUUGGCUCACUCUUAGGCAGCGGCGACUAUUACACUCACUUCAAAUGUGACAGCCCUGGAAUAUGUGGCUAUGACCUGUACGAGAAUGAUAAUGCAGCUUGGGAUCAUGACAAUGGCAUCUACUCAACACAGAUGUACACGCAAAAAGUACAACAAAUCUUAGCUUCUCACAAUCCCAGGAAACCUAUAUUCUUAUAUAUUGCUUACCAAGCUGUUCAUUCGCCUCUUCAGGCACCAGGCAAGUAUUUUGAACAUUAUCGAUCCAUAAAUAACAUAAACAGGCGACGAUAUGCUGCGAUGCUAGCUUGUUUGGAUGAAGCCAUAAACAAUGUAACCCUUGCUUUAAAGAAAUAUGGUUACUAUGACAAUAGCAUUAUCAUAUAUUCUUCAGAUAAUGGUGGGCAGCCAAUGGCUGGAGGAAGUAACUGGCCUCUCCGAGGGAGCAAAGGGACAUACUGGGAAGGAGGUAUCCGUGCUGUUGGGUUUGUCCAUAGUCCCCUUCUGAAAAACAAAGGGUCUGUGUGUAAGGAGCUUGUGCACAUCACAGACUGGUUUCCCACUUUGAUCACACUGGCCGAAGGACAGAUUGACGAAGAUAUCCAGCUAGAUGGGUAUGAUAUAUGGGAAACCAUUAGCGAAGGCAGACGUUCUCCACGGGUAGACAUCUUACACAACAUUGACCCAAUUUACACUAAAGCCAAAAAUGGGUCUUGGGCAGCUGGAUAUGGAAUCUGGAACACUGCAAUUCAAUCUGCCAUCAGAGUGAAUCAUUGGAAACUACUGACAGGAAAUCCGGGAUAUAGCGACUGGGUUCCUCCACAGGCCUUCAGUAACAUGGGCCCCAACCGCUGGCAUAAUGAACGUGUUUCUUGGUCAGCUGGCAAAACCGUGUGGCUUUUCAACAUAACCGCUGAUCCAUAUGAACGGGUGGACCUCUCUGCAAAAUAUCCUGAUGUAGUGAAACAGCUGUUGAGGAGGCUUUCACAGUUCAAUAAGACUGCGGUUCCUGUUCGGUACCCGCCUAAGGACCCACGGAGUAACCCAAAGCUGAAUGGAGGAGUCUGGGGUCCGUGGUUUAAGGAGGAUGAAAAGAAGAAGAAGUCAGAUAAAAGUAAAGGUGCUAAUAAGCAAAAGAAGAACAAGAACAAGAAAAAAGCAAAUCGGAAAAAAGGGCCAUCAUUACAUUGCCGAUCACGUCUUGCUGGUGGAUAGACUUUGAGCAUGCUAGUUUUUGCCAAGUCUAAGCCAGCUUGGCCCAAAUUCCUUGAACUUCUGAGACAAUAUACCAGAAACGCCUGCUCUGCACUAUGGAGGAAAGCUGUCAUCUUUUAAUUUGUUCUCAAAUUUUGCUAGGAUGAGCUAUCUUGACACUCUGCCUCGAAUGUACAUAAACAUCCACAUGACAGACUUUCUCCUCUACAGAAAGAGAGGUGCUCUCCCAUCACAGCUACAUUCCAGAUAAGAAUACAAUUACUAGUAACUUCAGAAAGCCCAUUUUUGAUGGACAGAUGAUUGUUCCUUGCCUGAAUUAGUUAGAAUUUUUUGAGAGUCUGGAGAGGCAGAUGAUUCAUAGAGAGAAAGGAAAAACAAAGCUUGAGAACUUCUGUAGGUCUGAGAGUGCUAGCCACCAGCCUGUGAUGUUUUUUGAUAAAACACAGCAAAAAUUGAAGCCAACUUUUUUGGGGUGUUGGGGAGAGGAACACAAUAGGAGGAAAGCUGCUUUGAAUUAGACUGUGUCUCUUUUAGAUAAACAAGAAAUACUUUUUAAAUUCCCUAAAUGUGCUAAACUUUCCUCAAUUGUUGUAAAACCAGAGGGCUGUUAUCAGCACACACGAUUAACUCGCACAUGCCAUGUAUAAUUUAUUAUAGGCAUAGACAAAAGCACAUCACCAAAGUGAAUGUAAUAUUUAAACACUUUAAGAUACCUAUACUACAGUACAUGCAAGACAUAAUUUAUUUUACAGCACAAUACUUUUUUCUCUUCCAUUAAAACUUUAAUUAGUGGGUGAUAUAAGGUUGUUUAUUUUUUUCCUUUGAUUUUUAAUUUUAUUUUCACUCAGUCAUUCAGAGUUUUAUUCAACAGAUCCACAUCCUCAGAGUACUGUAAAACAAGAAAAUACUGUAGACACUGCUAGGAUGAGAGAGGAGAAUGAUUCAGUUUCACAUAAAGUUGGAGAGAAAGAGACUAUCCUGGCUACAAGUAAAGACUAGUGGAAGGAAGUACCAUGAACGGUAAGUAAAUCUAAAAUGGCAGUCUUUUUGUAUGGAUCUUGUAGGAGGUGAGGGACGGUCCAUGAGGUUGUGAAGCUCAGGAAAGGAAGAUGAGUUAUCGUAACUAAUGGAGUCAUUAGUGUCUGAAGCCAUCCAGUAGGUUUCUGUAUCUGCUGGGACAUGUGGCUGGUAUGGAAAGUGAAUUAGGCCAUUAAACCCAGCAACUUUCUGUCUCUCUCCUUGGAAGUAAUGAAUGCUGAUUGGAUUUCAAGCUGAUGAAAGACCACUCAUGCUUCCAUCUAUACAGGAUUGUACAUAAUGGGUUAUCUGAGGUAUUGUCUAGACAACAUUGAAACUUAGGUUUUUGUGCUCUUGCUGCAAAGAAUUAACUUCUUUCUUUUUCUUUCACUGCUCUGCAUAUUCAGCAGUGUGCUCUCAAUGCUUUUACACAGCCAUCCACAGUUUCAAAGUUGCCUUUUACUCAUACAAAUAACAUUAGCUUUUUGCAUCACAAAGUGAGACAGCAGUGAAAGUUAGAACAUAUGAUGUCAGACACUGGGCAGCUGCAUUUGGAACUAGGAACUGAUGCACUAUUACAUUUUAUUUUAAUUGAAGUAGCAUCAGAUUUGGUUGAUGGCAAAGAGUAGCUUCCAGAAUGCAAUUAGACCAAAGACAUGGGUAUGUCUGAAUUCUUGAACUAUAAUGAGAUACUGAAUUCCUUCCAGUGGCAUUCUUGAGUGUAAAUGGGGAUGCUGGAUCUACCAACUUCCACCACUAAUGUCACUGAGAGUUGGUCAUUCUCUGAAUAAGGAAAAAUAAUAAUAAUGUAUAGUAUGCUCUGUAGGUUUUGGGUUUUUUUUUCAGAUAUUGAGAUCUGUGAGCAAAGAACUAUAUCUCUGCUGACUACUGUUGUGCAUUAUAUCUGAGUUCUGAAAAAAAUGGUUCAUCUUUUUUAGUAUAUAACAUUCACAGGCUGACUACAGGCUCCCUUGGUCAUCUUGCUUUAAAUCGUGAAUAUUCACCCACAAAGUAAAUAAAAUAUAGUUUACUUCAUGUUUCGUGUAUCAUAAACUGUACUAUCGGUGUGAAGUCCACUUUUCCAAAAUAUAGCAUUAGCUCAGAGAAAUACACAGAAAUUCACCUGUUGACUACCACCUUAUUGAACUGUAUUCUUAGGACAACAAUAGCUUUGCUUUUUUAGCUCUCAAUUGCUUGUUUUCUGGUUUCCAAGAAAAGGCAGAGAAUACACAUUCGAACAAAAAAAAGAGCAUAAGAUUUAACUUAGCAGGUGGCCAGAGAAGGAGGGAAAGCAUGGCCCUGUGAGAAAAGAAAAGAGUACUAAGCUGUGACUGGUGUUGUACACGGAAUGAAAAAUUUGCAAGUUGCUUAA